RNAcentral lists this ribosomal RNA (429 nucleotides) under Pseudomonadota bacterium. Its description in RNAcentral is "Proteobacteria bacterium partial 16S ribosomal RNA". It matches the Rfam family "Bacterial small subunit ribosomal RNA", at positions 355 to 776 of the family's 1533-position model. Lineage: Bacteria; Pseudomonadati; Pseudomonadota. The record is from RNAcentral.
UGGGGAAUAUUGGACAAUGGGCGAAAGCCUGAUCCAGCCAUGCCGCGUGUGUGAAGAAGGUCUUCGGAUUGUAAAGCACUUUAAGUUGGGAGGAAGGGCAGUAAGCGAAUACCUUGCUGUUUUGACGUUACCGACAGAAUAAGCACCGGCUAACUCUGUGCCAGCAGCCGCGGUAAGACAGAGGGUGCAAGCGUUAAUCGGAAUUACUGGGCGUAAAGCGCGCGUAGGUGGUUCGUUAAGUUGAAUGUGAAAGCCCCGGGCUCAACCUGGGAACUGCAUCCAAAACUGGCGAGCUAGAGUAGGGCAGAGGGUGGUGGAAUUUCCUGUGUAGCGGUGAAAUGAGUAGAUAUAGGAAGGAACACAAGUGGCGAAGGCGACCACCUGGGCUCAUACUGACACUGAGGUGCGAAAGCGUGGGGAGCAAACAGG